RNAcentral lists this ribosomal RNA (253 nucleotides) under uncultured bacterium. RNAcentral's name for it is "partial 16S ribosomal RNA". It matches the Rfam family "Bacterial small subunit ribosomal RNA", at positions 524 to 776 of the family's 1533-position model. The record is from RNAcentral.
UACAGAGGUCUCAAGCGUUGUUCGGAUUCAUUGGGCGUAAAGGGUGUGUAGGCGGAUCGGUAAGUACCUUGUGAAAUCCCACAGCUUAACUGUGGAACUGCUUGGUAUACUGCCAGUCUUGAGCCAGCUAGGGGCUACCGGAACAAAUGGUGGAGCGGUGAAAUGCGUAGAUAUCAUUUGGAACGCCAAUGGUGAAAACAGGUAGCUGGGGCUGUGCUGACGCUGAGACACGAAAGCCAGGGGAGCGAACGGG